Molecule: small nucleolar RNA, 90 nt
Organism: Macaca fascicularis (crab-eating macaque)
Lineage: Eukaryota; Metazoa; Chordata; Mammalia; Primates; Cercopithecidae
Source: Ensembl
AACGUUCCUGAGCGUGACGACGGGGUGUCCAUGCACGUGUGAGAUGUACCACCCUCGAACCUCGUUAUGUCAGCACAUCACCCGCUGACC